UGUUAGAUUUCUGGAACUAAAUAUGUAUACGAAUCUCGAUCAUGAUUCAUGUAUAAUUUUGGGGAGUUAUUAAUAAUAGAGCAAAAAUAACUUAGUCCUUACACAAGAUGAGCCAACCCAUCUGAAAAACAAAACAAAAUAAAAUAAAAUUUACUUUUAUCUACCAACCCGGCCCAACCUAUACUAUUACACCUAAGUGUAGAUGUAGGGUUUCCUAUUUAAGACUUUACUCUUCUCCUCCUCUUCAACCCUACCACACCUGAAACAUGUUGUUACUGCCACUGUUCAACCACCAAUUCAUCUUGCUCCAGCUUUGGGUGGUAAACUCUGUGCCUUGGAUGCUUCUUGUAUCUGCAUAUCUCAGCUUGUAGAAAUAGCUGAUAUGGAGAUAAUGGGAUGCUUAGGACCAUAAAUAUACGGAGAGUGAUAUGACUUUCAAAUUUAUCAAUUACAAUCCGACUAAGUGACCCUUUUCUUUUUGCUGCGAGUCUUUUUUAUUGGCUUCUGUAGUAUAGGCUAGCUAGCUGCUUCACUUUUUUUGUUGCCACCAUGGAUUGUAUAUAUUUGCAUGUGAACAAAGCAAGCUUUAGCCUCCCCAUCACCUUCACCCUUUUGAUGGUGACAAUCUUAAGUAAGGGCAUUGUAAUUUUUCACUCUUAAUUAUCCUCUUUGAUUCA
Molecule: long non-coding RNA, 677 nt
Organism: Capsicum annuum
Lineage: Eukaryota; Viridiplantae; Streptophyta; Magnoliopsida; Solanales; Solanaceae
Exons: 2
Source: RefSeq, a predicted model, not a curated record